CAGUAGCCGCGGUAAUACAGAGGGUGCGAGCGUUAAUCGGAUUUACUGGGCGUAAAGCGUGCGUAGGCGGCUUUUUAAGUCGGAUGUGAAAUCCCUGAGCUUAACUUAGGAAUUGCAUUCGAUACUGGGAAGCUAGAGUAUGGGAGAGGAUGGUAGAAUUCCAGGUGUAGCGGUGAAAUGCGUAGAGAUCUGGAGGAAUACCGAUGGCGAAGGCAGCCAUCUGGCCUAAUACUGACGCUGAGGUACGAAAGCGUGGGUAGCGAACAGGAUUAGAUACCCGCGUAGUCCCUGUCUCUUAUAC
RNAcentral lists this ribosomal RNA (301 nucleotides) under uncultured bacterium. RNAcentral describes it as "partial 16S ribosomal RNA". It matches the Rfam family "Bacterial small subunit ribosomal RNA", at positions 509 to 807 of the family's 1533-position model. The record is from RNAcentral.